UGAGGAAUAUUGGUCAAUGGCCGGAAGGCUGAACCAGCCAAGCCGCGUGAAGGACGAAGGUGCCAAGCAUUGUAAACUUCUUUUGUCAAUGGACAAAAUCAGGCUCGAGAGCCUGACCGAGGGUACUUGAAGAAAAAGCAUCGGCUAACUCCGUGCCAGCAGCCG
Molecule: ribosomal RNA, 165 nt
Filed under: uncultured bacterium
Lineage: Bacteria
Description: partial 16S ribosomal RNA
Rfam family: Bacterial small subunit ribosomal RNA
Source: RNAcentral